GACAAUCUUUGAAGAAUGCACAGAAAAUAUUUUUAGUCCUAAUAAUAAAAUAAGAUUUCAAUGGUAUAAUAUUCAGAUUUGAAUCAUUGAAGUGUGUGUGAAGUAUUUGAAUGUGGAGGGAGUAUUUAGAGACAAUCCCAGCCCUGAUCACAGAGUGUAGCUUGAAGUGUGUGUGAAGUAUCUGAGGAGUAUUUUCAGACUUUAGUCUUUGCAACUUCACAGAUCUUCUUUAUUCACCAAGAGCUUGUAACACUCCAGAGAGAAAAGAAAAAUUAAAAUCGCAUCAUAUGAGCCCUUAAUGGAGACCAGAACCGGUCUGCUUUGGGAACUGGAGAGAUUAAGAAAACACACUUUAUUUAAUAAAAAUUAUCAUUCAUUAUUGCUACUUGAAUGUCGACUUGUGAGUUGUGUCUCGCCAACCGUUUCUUUAUUAAAUAAAGUGUGGUAACAUUUCGAUAGUCAUGAUUUGUUUGUCAGAUUCAGUGACUGCAUCAGAUGCAUUUGUAAGGAGCAAACUGUAGAUCUGUAGAUCUCCAACAUUACUGGGUAAUUACUGUAAACAGUGAUAAGAAUGAAGACCUACAUUUAUCAGAUAAUCAGAAUAUGUUAAACAUAAUAAGCGCUAAACAUCUCAUAAGGAAACAGUUCUUAGUGUUAGCCUAAAACAGCAGCAGCAUUAAUGUUUCAUUUCUUUUCUAUAUAAUCAUUUAGAUGUUCUUGACAGUAUCUAGUUUGUUCAGUUGAUGUUUUCUCUAGCAUUAAGACAUGAAUCAUCUUUUACACAGCGCUCAGCUCCUCUGACGCGGAUAAUUCUGGUUCAGUUUCUAAUGUAAUGUGUGCACGCUCUGCUCCCGCGAGAACAUUUGCUGAACAGAGACCCCUGGUCACAGUUUUCACUGGGUCACCGAUUUCAGCACAACAGGGGUCAAGGGUCAUUCUACAGAAACCUCCAAUUUUGGGAUGACAAGAUGUCUUAAAAUGCAUUUCUUUUUUUUAACAUUUAAACUUAGACCACAUUAUUAUAUAUGUCAACAGUAGUAACAAUAAACUCAAAGUUAUUGGUAUAAUUACUCACAGACAUAAAGAAAUUGUGUGUGCGCUGUGGUCUUAAUGUGGGAAAACAAGCCCUGUGUCUCAAUGUUCAUACUAUCCAUCCUAUAUGUUUAGAAUAAGUGUGUCCCAAAGCAUAGUAUGAUGAAAAGAGUAUGCCCAAAGUCCCCGGAUGGUCUUCUAUUUCAGGUCGAUUUUUAAAGUUCAAACAGUUGAAUGCACUUGUUUUUCCAGUCAUUAAUCAUCUCUAAAUUAAUGCACUGCCUUCACUGAAGCACAAAUAGACAAACAUCAGAUUUCAUUGAUUUGAUGUGUUUUCAAUACUGAUAUCUCUUUGGAUUUUUUAAAGAAUGUUUAAUUAUCAUGUAUCGUGCACUCACAAGCUUGUUUCUGUUUCUCUCUGCAGAUAUGUGAGUUGUUCAUAUCAAGGCAAAGUUAAAAGGGAGGUAAAGUCAGAUCUGCUCUAUCUCAUAAGCGUCUGAGUUCAUCUUCACAAAACAGGUCACAGAAGACUUCUCCGUGGUCUGUUCUUAGCUAUAAAUCAAUGCCAGGGAGGCAGACUUGUGUUAUAUACUACUACAAGUCAGUUUAUUCAUUACAAUUAGUAAGUAAGCAGUACAAAUAUUCUACAAUUACUGUGAAAGUAUUAAAUAAAGUAUAAAUGUGAGUAAGUUGUUUGCUCAAGGCAAUAUCAGCGAUGGUUCUGGAGCAGGAGAGCUCUUCAGGUCUCGAAGCAGUAUCUGAUUUCAUCAUUACUUCAGUCUUUUAUAGACUUCAGGCAACGCUGUGUACAAGUCCUAUUUCAUGGUGCGAUCUAAUCACUUUAAAGUUGAGGCAGUGAAGGACCAUGAGAGCUUGGAAAGUCAUCAGGAGAGCCACUGCAAAACAGUGCAUUUAAUACAAUUCAGAGUGCUUCCAUAGACAAGGACGAAACUUUACGUUUGGGAGUUUAAAAAAAAUAUAUAUAAAAAAUCUCACUGAAAUGUACUGUGUUGUAGGUGCUAACAGUGGCUUCAUUUACAUAAAAAUGUAUUUCAGGGUAGACCGAAAGAAAGGAUUGAAGAUAGGAGAGAAUUACAGAUGACUACCAGGCAAAAGAGUUCAUACACUACAUAGCAGAGGAUGAGAGAAAAAAGAUGAGGGCCAGAUUAUCAGAUGUCAAGUUCAUCUCAGUCAUGUCAGAUGAUCUCUGGACAGUGCAGUGAUGGAAGAAGAAAUGGUCUACGUCACAAGUGCCACUGAGGGCAAGGUCAAAGCUGAUUUAGAUUCAAAGCCAGAUGCUGCAAAUCUAGCUGAAGCAGUGUGUAGUAUAAUGGGAAGUGGAGUCAGCACUCAAUGGAGAAACAAGCAAGUGGCAAUCACCAUAGAUGGAGCAUCUGUAAUGACAGGGGUAAACAACGGUGAAGUUACAAAACUUGGAGGAGCACUGCUAGAUUUAGUGAUGUGAACAGUGGUGUCCUGCAGGAGAUGCGGCUGACCAGUUUCCAGUGCUGGCCAGAGACAGACACCAGUUCAGGUUAGCAAUUCACAUGUAAAGAGCAAAUCUUCAUCAGUCACUUCCGACCUCUUUUACUGUCUGCUGGAGUGAAUGUGGAGUUGAUCCCUGAUCAAUGGACAGUUCUCAAGACUGAACUUCACACAGCAGGAGCCUGCUGCAGGAACCUUUGAGAAGACCUGGUCUACUGUGAACAGAAUACUGCUCCAUCAUGUCCUGAUGUCCCUGAUGUUUCUGAUGCUCUCCUCACAAUCCCUGCAACUACAGCUGACUGUGAAAGAGGGUUCAGUGUUAUGAAGCAGGUAAAGAGUGACUGGGGCUCACACCUAAAAGAUGAGACCCUCUCUGACCUCCUUAAACCCAGUUGUGCUCACCUGACAUCAAAGACUUUGAUCCAAACACAGCCAUUGACAUCUGGCACGCUGACAGUUUGUGCUCACGCAGGCCUGACUUUCUGCACAAACACCAAACAAAAGGAACAGAGGGAGGCUAAGAUUCUGACUACACCUCUGAAGAAGAAGAAGAAGAGCUCUGAAGAAGAAGAAGAAGAGCUCUGAAGACGUGAUUCAGAUGAUAGAUGAAGUGUACUACAGUACUGAAAUAUAAAUAUCUACCACAUGAGUGAUAGCGGGCUGUAGUUUGGACAUCCCUGGUUUAAAGCCUAUUGUGACAUUUGCAGCGAUCACAACAGUAUUGAUUUAUUAAUCUGUGAUGAACUGUGUUUCAUAUAAAACACAAAACCAGAACACUUAAGUUAAACUCAAUUCAUUGCUUCUUUCAA
Molecule: long non-coding RNA, 3326 nt
Organism: Carassius gibelio (silver crucian carp)
Lineage: Eukaryota; Metazoa; Chordata; Actinopteri; Cypriniformes; Cyprinidae
Exons: 4
Source: RefSeq, a predicted model, not a curated record